UGGCGGCGUGCCUAACACAUGCAAGUCGAACGAGAAAGUGGAGCAAUCCAUGAGUACAGUGGCGUACGGGUGAGUAACACGUGACUAACCUACCCUCGAGUGGGGAAUAACUUCGGGAAACCGAGGCUAAUACCGCAUAACAUCUACGGAUCAAAUGCGCAAGCAGCUUGAGGAGGGGGUCGCGGCUGAUUAGCUCGUUGGCGGGGUAACGGCCCACCAAGGCAAUGAUCAGUAGCCGGCCUGAGAGGGCGCACGGCCACACUGGAACUGAAACACGGUCCAGACUCCUACGGGAGGCAGCAGUGGGGAAUUUUGCGCAAUGGGGGAAACCCUGACGCAGCAACGCCGCGUGGAGGAUGAAGCCCCUUGGGGUGUAAACUCCUUUCGAUCGGGACGAUUAUGACGGUACCGGAUGAAGAAGCACCGGCUAACUCUGUGCCAGCAGCCGCGGUAAUACAGAGGGUGCAAGCGUUGUUCGGAAUUAUUGGGCGUAAAGGGUGCGUAGGCGGUGCGGUAAG
Molecule: ribosomal RNA, 518 nt
Filed under: uncultured Acidobacteriota bacterium
Lineage: Bacteria; Pseudomonadati; Acidobacteriota
Description: bacterial SSU rRNA
Rfam family: Bacterial small subunit ribosomal RNA
Source: RNAcentral